This 393-nucleotide RNase P RNA is filed under the name Elusimicrobiota bacterium. RNAcentral's name for it is "Elusimicrobia bacterium (groundwater metagenome) RNase P RNA component class A". It matches the Rfam family "Bacterial RNase P class A". From Rfam's summary of the family: Ribonuclease P (RNase P) is a ubiquitous endoribonuclease, found in archaea, bacteria and eukarya as well as chloroplasts and mitochondria. The record is from RNAcentral. Lineage: Bacteria; Pseudomonadati; Elusimicrobiota.
GAUCGCGGACGGAGGGUCGCCUUCAUCCGCCUAAGGCGGACGGGGGAGGAACUUCCGAACUCCACAGGGCAAGGCGCCGGUUCAAAUCCGCCUCAGGCGGACAUAGGCCGGGGGUUUGGGGCUAUAUACCCAAAUCACGGAAAGUGCCACAGAAAACACACAGCCCAAGCCCGCGAGGGCCGGCAAUGGUGAAAAGGUGCGGUAAGAGCGCACCGUCCGCCAGGGAAACCGGCGGAGCAGGGUAAACCCCGCCCGGAGCAAGGCCGAAUAUGCGCAUGGAUAGCCCGUCCGCGCCCGCAAGGGUAAAGCGCAGAGUGGGCCGCACAAGAUAAAUGAUCCUCUCUAUGCCGCGAGGCAUAAAGACAGAAUUCGGGGUACAGUCCGCGAUCAAAG